Molecule: ribosomal RNA, 1286 nt
Filed under: Microbacterium sp. MS28
Lineage: Bacteria; Bacillati; Actinomycetota; Actinomycetes; Micrococcales; Microbacteriaceae
Description: bacterial SSU rRNA
Rfam family: Bacterial small subunit ribosomal RNA
Source: RNAcentral
GAACGGGUGAGUAACACGUGAGCAACCUGCCCCUGACUCUGGGAUAAGCGCUGGAAACGGCGUCUAAUACUGGAUAUGUGACGUGACCGCAUGGUCUGCGUCUGGAAAGAAUUUCGGUUGGGGAUGGGCUCGCGGCCUAUCAGCUUGUUGGUGAGGUAAUGGCUCACCAAGGCGUCGACGGGUAGCCGGCCUGAGAGGGUGACCGGCCACACUGGGACUGAGACACGGCCCAGACUCCUACGGGAGGCAGCAGUGGGGAAUAUUGCACAAUGGGCGCAAGCCUGAUGCAGCAACGCCGCGUGAGGGACGACGGCCUUCGGGUUGUAAACCUCUUUUAGCAGGGAAGAAGCGAAAGUGACGGUACCUGCAGAAAAAGCGCCGGCUAACUACGUGCCAGCAGCCGCGGUAAUACGUAGGGCGCAAGCGUUAUCCGGAAUUAUUGGGCGUAAAGAGCUCGUAGGCGGUUUGUCGCGUCUGCUGUGAAAUCCGGAGGCUCAACCUCCGGCCUGCAGUGGGUACGGGCAGACUAGAGUGCGGUAGGGGAGAUUGGAAUUCCUGGUGUAGCGGUGGAAUGCGCAGAUAUCAGGAGGAACACCGAUGGCGAAGGCAGAUCUCUGGGCCGUAACUGACGCUGAGGAGCGAAAGGGUGGGGAGCAAACAGGCUUAGAUACCCUGGUAGUCCACCCCGUAAACGUUGGGAACUAGUUGUGGGGUCCAUUCCACGGAUUCCGUGACGCAGCUAACGCAUUAAGUUCCCCGCCUGGGGAGUACGGCCGCAAGGCUAAAACUCAAAGGAAUUGACGGGGACCCGCACAAGCGGCGGAGCAUGCGGAUUAAUUCGAUGCAACGCGAAGAACCUUACCAAGGCUUGACAUAUACGAGAACGGGCCAGAAAUGGUCAACUCUUUGGACACUCGUAAACAGGUGGUGCAUGGUUGUCGUCAGCUCGUGUCGUGAGAUGUUGGGUUAAGUCCCGCAACGAGCGCAACCCUCGUUCUAUGUUGCCAGCACGUAAUGGUGGGAACUCAUGGGAUACUGCCGGGGUCAACUCGGAGGAAGGUGGGGAUGACGUCAAAUCAUCAUGCCCCUUAUGUCUUGGGCUUCACGCAUGCUACAAUGGCCGGUACAAAGGGCUGCAAUACCGCGAGGUGGAGCGAAUCCCAAAAAGCCGGUCCCAGUUCGGAUUGAGGUCUGCAACUCGACCUCAUGAAGUCGGAGUCGCUAGUAAUCGCAGAUCAGCAACGCUGCGGUGAAUACGUUCCCGGGUCUUGUACACACCGCCCGUC